UAGGGAAUCUUCCGCAAUGGGCGAAAGCCUGACGGAGCAACGCCGCGUGAGUGAUGAAGGUUUUCGGAUCGUAAAACUCUGUUAUUAGGGAAGAACAUAUGUGUAAGUAACUGUGCACAUCUUGACGGUACCUAAUCAGAAAGCCACGGCUAACUACGUGCCAGCAGCCGCGGUAAUACGUAGGUGGCAAGCGUUAUCCGGAAUUAUUGGGCGUAAAGCGCGCGUAGGCGGUUUUUUAAGUCUGAUGUGAAAGCCCACGGCUCAACCGUGGAGGGUCAUUGGAAACUGGAAAACUUGAGUGCAGAAGAGGAAAGUGGAAUUCCAUGUGUAGCGGUGAAAUGCGCAGAGAUAUGGAGGAACACCAGUGGCGAAGGCGACUUUCUGGUCUGUAACUGACGCUGAUGUGCGAAAGCGUGGGGAUCAAACAGGAUUAGAUACCCUGGUAGUCCACGCCGUAAACGAUGAGUGCUAAGUGUUAGGGGGUUUCCGCCCCUUAGUGCUGCAGCUAACGCAUUAAGCACUCCGCCUGGGGAGUACGACCGCAAGGUCG
This 550-nucleotide ribosomal RNA is filed under the name uncultured bacterium. Its description in RNAcentral is "bacterial SSU rRNA". It matches the Rfam family "Bacterial small subunit ribosomal RNA", at positions 355 to 896 of the family's 1533-position model. The record is from RNAcentral.